RNA transcript from Populus euphratica (Euphrates poplar), 2086 nucleotides. It is a transcript of the gene named F-box/FBD/LRR-repeat protein At1g13570-like, with no coding region annotated. The transcript has 7 exons. The record is from RefSeq and is a predicted model, not a curated record. Lineage: Eukaryota; Viridiplantae; Streptophyta; Magnoliopsida; Malpighiales; Salicaceae.
ACAAACAGCCCCGAAUAUCCCGUCAAUGGAAUGGUUCUUACCUUUUUUAGUUAUCCAUGAAAGCUUUGUAUUGGGUAGUCGUUAGGUUUUCCGCACCAAGAGCUCAGCACUCUUACUUGCAUCUCUGUUCUCUCUGUUUCAGUUCUAUUGAAAUUGCUGCUGCUGCUCCUCCUCCUCCAAUGCAAAGAGAACCACCCAAAUUCCCAUGUGAAAUAGACACAGAGCUGGACAGAAUCAGCAGCUUACCUGGGCAUGUUUUACGCCAAAUUCUAUCACUUUUGCCGAUUAGGGAUGCAGUGAGAACUAGUGCGUUAAAAAGAAAGUGGAGGUACAAAUGGUCUCAAAUUCCUCAUAUUGUGUUUGAUUCUCAAGGCAUCUCAAUCUCUUCCCAAGAUCAAACUACAAUUAAGAACAAGCUUGUCAAUAUUAUCGAUCAUAUACUUUUACUUCACAAUGGUCCAAUUUACAAGUUCAAACUAUCUCACUGCGAUCUUUUAGGUGUCAGUGAUAUUGAUCGAUGGAUUCUUCAUUUAUCGAGAGGUUCUACCAAAGGAUUUGUACUUGAGAUAUGGAAAGGCCAGCAGUAUAAGUUGCCUUCUUGUUUGUUCUCGUUUAAGAACUUGGUUCAUUUAGAAUUAUUUAAUUGUUUGCUAAAACCUCCUUUGGCUUUCAAAGGAUUCCAGAACUUGAAGAAUCUUGACCUUCAGCAUGUUACCCUGGCACAGGAGGUGUUUGAGAAGCUGAUUUCUAGCUUUGCUAUGCUUGAGAGGCUGACAUUGAUUAACUUUGAUGGUUUUACUCAUCUUAACAUCAAUGCACCUAAUCUUCAAUUUUUUGACGUCGGAGGUGUUUUUGAUGAUGUUAGUUUUGAGAAUACUUUUGUAUUGACUCUGGUCUCCAUUGGAUUGUAUGUGAACGUCAAAAAUGACCAGAAUGUGUCUUAUGGGAGUUCUGGUAAAUUGCUCAGGUUUUUUGUUAAUCUGCCCCAUAUUCAAAGACUUGAGAUUCAGAGUUACUUUCUUAAGUAUUUGGCUGUCGGCAAAGUUCCAAGCAAGUUGCCAAAGCCAUGCAUUGAUCUGAACUACCUUUCUAUACGCUUAAAUUUCAAUGACUAUGAAGAGAAUUCAGCUGCCUUGUGUCUCUUGAGAAGCUGCCCCAAUUUGCAAGAAGUAGAGAUAUUGGCCCGCCCUGAGGAACAAGCUGUUGUGGGACCAGUAACUGAUUUCUGGGACGAUGACCACUGGAAGUGUUUAUUUGGCCAAUUGCGACUGGCGAAAAUAGUUGGCAUCUCUGGCAUUAGAUCUGAACUUGAUUGCAUUAAAUUUCUGCUUUCAAACUCUCCUGUGCUUGAGAAGAUGACCAUUAAGCCUGUUUCCAAGGAGGGAGGAUGGGAGUUGGUAAACCAAUUGCUGCAUUUUCAGCGAGCCUCAAUCCAAGCAGAAGUCUUUCAUCUGGAGCUAUAACUAUGGACUGCGUUUUGGGCAGGCACUGCUGCGCUGUAAAAUGCUUCCCAUGUAAAUCCAUUUUAUGAUUAGCAGGUUGCGCGAGCUCUUUUAUUGUUCUGCGGUGUUUUUAUGUUCGGCAGUUGGGAUGUGAUUGUUUUGACAAUGUGCUGUGCUGAUAUUGGCCUUUCAACUUAAUGAUUGUCUCUCUUUUGUGUUGAUGGUCAUCUCUGAAACCAGGAUAUCCAUAGGAAUAUAUCCUUUACUUUUCUAACUCUACCCUCCUAAUCAAGGCCACCCGUCUCAAAUCUAAACAGAAUGCUCUCUUUCAACACUCUAAAUAGAAUUAAAUCAAAGGAGUAGCCAGGCAUGGGGCUAGUUGUCGUUCAUAAAUCUUGAGAGUAUGUACUGCAUGCUGUACAAAUCAUGUGAGUUACAAAUAUGUUCCAAGCCAACGAAGGAUCUUGAAUAUGGAGUCACGGUCAAGUAUGGUUCUUAGUUCAUGGUCGCAGCUCCACCCAAUCACCACCGAAAUCCAUUUAAGAGGGAAGCAGGACAUCGUUAAUCCCAAGAAAGGGCCAGUGUUACUUCGGUUUGUCGAAACUCUCUCACACAACCAACCUUGUAAUCAUAACACAGCCAGA